RNAcentral lists this ribosomal RNA (449 nucleotides) under uncultured bacterium. RNAcentral's name for it is "bacterial SSU rRNA". It matches the Rfam family "Bacterial small subunit ribosomal RNA", at positions 28 to 508 of the family's 1533-position model. The record is from RNAcentral.
GAUGAACGCUGGCGGCGUGCCUAACACAUGCAAGUCGAACGCUCCUUCGGGAGAGUGGCGCACGGGUGAGUAACACGUAGCUAACCUGCCCUCAAGACAGGGAUAACUGUAGGAAACUACCGCUAAUACCUGAUAAGCUUACAGGCUGUAGAGGCCGAUAAGAAAAGCGUAUGCGCUUGAGGAUGGGGCUGCGAGCCAUCAGCUCGUUGGUGAGGUAAAGGCUUACCAAGGCGACGACGGCUAGGGGACCUGAGAGGGUGACCCCCCACACUGGAACUGAGAUACGGUCCAGACUCCUACGGGAGGCAGCAGUGAGGAAUAUUGCUCAAUGGGCGCAAGCCUGAAGCAGCGACGCCGCGUGGAUGAAGAAGGUUUUCGGACUGUAAAAUCCUUUUCUGUGUGACGAGAGUGGACGGUAGCACAGGAAUAAGUCUCGGCUAACUACGUGC